CCUACGGGAGGCAGCAGUGGGGGAUAUUGCACAAUGGAGGGAACUCUGAUGCAGCGACGCCGCGUGAGGGAAGAAGGUUUUCGGAUCGUAAACCUCUGUCAUCGGUGACGAAACGAGACGGUAGUCGAGGAGGAAGCCACGGCCAACUACGGGCCAGAAGCGGCGGUAAUACGUAGGUGGCAAGCGUUGUCCGGAAUUACGGGGUGAAAAGGGAGGGUAGGCGGGAAAGCAGACUGGAGGGUUAGGGUACGGGCUCAACCUGUACAAGCGUUCAGAAAUGUUUGUCUUGAGUGGAGUAGAGGUAGGCGGAAUUCCUGGUGUAGCGGUGAAAUGCGUAGAUAUUAGGAGGAACACCAGUGGCGAAGGCGGCUUACUGGACUUUAACUGACGCUGAGGCUCGAAAGCGUGGGUAGCAAACAGGAUUAGAUACCCGGGUAGUC
RNAcentral lists this ribosomal RNA (440 nucleotides) under uncultured bacterium. RNAcentral's name for it is "partial 16S ribosomal RNA". It matches the Rfam family "Bacterial small subunit ribosomal RNA", at positions 338 to 795 of the family's 1533-position model. The record is from RNAcentral.